RNAcentral lists this long non-coding RNA (1352 nucleotides) under Ursus americanus (American black bear). RNAcentral's name for it is "lncRNA (ENSUAMG00000017540.1)". The record is from RNAcentral. Lineage: Eukaryota; Metazoa; Chordata; Mammalia; Carnivora; Ursidae.
CUGGGGGAGGAUUUCGUGGGCCUCAGGAGAAGCAGCUCCUUGCCAGCGCACCGGAGGGGACCUGACGCUAGCAGGUGAGUGAGGCAGGAGGGAGCCGGCUGCCUGGCGAGGGCUCAGCCAAGGAGGGCCAGGGUCUGGGGAAGGGAGGCAGCAGCCUGAACCUGGGGCACCCCGCAGGCGCCUCCCACAUCGUGUCCUCUCCAGGAGCCAUGAGACACAUCCAUCCCUUCUUGCUGGCCGUCCUGCUGUGCUCCGAGUGUGCCCUGAGCCUUCAGUGCUACAGCUGUGCUGAAGUGGAGAACAGCAGCCCGUGCCAGCCCUCCCAGUGUCUGAUGCAGGGCGUCUGCUACACUAGUGACAUAACCUUGACCUUGGACGACGGUGAGUGCCCAGCACUCGGAGGGAGGGGGCGGUUCAGGGAGCUCUGCUCUGAGGCUCCCCCAGCCUCUCAGAGGAGUGUGGGUUUGGCAGGGGCCACUCUCCAGCCUGCCUCAACUUCCCCCAUCCACAUGGAGCGGGGCGGCCUCCAGAGGCCUUCUCGGGGAGGGGGCGGGAUGGGACUCCAGCAGAGGGAUGGAUGGCCAAGUGCCCCCAGGGAGCGGGUGACCAGGGAAGACCCCAGGAGGCUGAGAGCGGACUGGGGCCUCUCAUGCCAGGCUCCUCCCGUCUUGCCCACAGGAAAUCGGGUGAAGUACCAGCAGAAGGGGUGUGCCCCCUCCUGUGAGGAAGUCUCCCGCAUACUGCAGCAGCUUUCCCAGAGCAGCGGCCCCGGCAAUCUGGGCCUGCUGGGCCUAACGAAGCUUGAAGUGCAGGGUUUGAGGUGCUGUGAAAGGGACCUCUGUAAUGGGGGCACACUGCCCCUGGGCCCUGGCGGGGGGCUCCUGCUCAGCCUAGGGCUCAUCUUCCUCUGGGCCCUGCUGUGAGCAGCCCUGACUCCAGCACAGAAAGCAGGGCGUCGUCCUGAACAGAGUCACGCAGCAGGCACGUGAAGUAAGCUCGCUGUCCCACCCUCGCAUACGCGCACGCGCACACACACACACACACACACACACACACCGUCCACACACAUGCAUCCCCACGCACAGACUCUGCAGACCCUCGGCCACUCCCGCCCAACCCACCUGGCCAGCCCUAGCCUCAGGCCCCCAGUACCCCGCUCUGCCAACAAGCCCAGCCCGUUUUGCAAACACCAUCAGCGAACCACCGCCCCAAGCUGCAGAGACCGCUGCGCUCUGACCAGACGGGCCUGUAGGAGAGCAAAGCCCACAGCCCAGCCCGGGGUCCUGCUCCCCAUGUGCCAGCCAGCGCAAGGAGAAAAUAAACCCUUUCCAUAUCUUCCUGUUCUCUGCUUG